UGCCAGCAGCCGCGGUAAUACGGAGGGUGCAAACGUUGUUCGGAAUCACUGGGCAUAAAGCGCACGUAGGCGGCCGGAUCAGUCCGUUGUGAAAGCCCUCGGCUCAACCGGGGAACUGCAAUGGAUACUAUUUGGCUUGAGGACGGUUGGGGUGAGUGGAACUCCUGGUGGAGCGGUGAAAUGCGUAGAUAUCAGGAGGAACACCAGUGGCGAAAGCGGCUCACUGGACCGUAUCUGACGCUGAGGUGCGAAAGCUAGGGUAGCGAACGGGAUUAGAUA
This 279-nucleotide ribosomal RNA is filed under the name uncultured bacterium. RNAcentral describes it as "partial 16S ribosomal RNA". It matches the Rfam family "Bacterial small subunit ribosomal RNA", at positions 506 to 784 of the family's 1533-position model. The record is from RNAcentral.